This 465-nucleotide ribosomal RNA is filed under the name uncultured bacterium. RNAcentral's name for it is "partial 16S ribosomal RNA". It matches the Rfam family "Bacterial small subunit ribosomal RNA", at positions 338 to 795 of the family's 1533-position model. The record is from RNAcentral.
CCUACGGGACGCAGCAGUAGGGAAUCUUCCACAAUGGGCGAAAGCCUGAUGGAGCAAAGCCGCGUGGGUGAAGAAGGUCUUCGGAUCGUAAAACCCUGUUGUUAGAGAAGAAAGUGCGUGAGAGUAACUGUUCACGUUUCGACGGUAACUAACCAGAAAGCGACGGCUAACUACGUGCCAGCAGACGAGGGACUACGUAGGUGGCAAGCUUUAUCCGGAUUUAUUUGGCGUAAAGGGAACGCAGGCGGUCUUUUAAGUCUGAUGGUAAAGCCUUCGGCUUAACCGGGGUAGUGCAUUGGAAACUGGGAGACUUGAGUGCAGAAGAGGAGAGUGGAACUCCAUGUGUAGCGGUGAAAUGCGUAGAUAUAUGGAAGAACACCAGUGGCGAAAGCGGCUCUCUGGUCUGUAACUGACGCUGAGGUUCGAAAGCGUGGGUAGCAAACAGGAUUAGAUACCCGAGUAGUC